UGCGCCUCCCGCUGCCGCCGGGCUUUCGGUGGCUGACUUCCCUCCUUCAGAGAGCGCGGAGUCGGGCGCCUUUGUCAGCCCUGCCCCCCGCCGGGACUGUGCGGCUCUCCUCAGCCCCACAGCCGCAGCCUGUGACCGUCCCCUCAUGGGGCUCGGCGCUGGCCACGGCCCCCAGGCCGUUCAGACGCGUAGUCAGAUCUCUGCUAGGAGGCAAAGUGUUAGCCACGUGCUGCCCGGCGCCCAGCUGAUGAGGAGGUGUUAAAUAGUAAGCCGUCGGGUAAGGCAGCAGCUAUGCCAGGCCGAGUCUCUGCUACCACGGCUGAACCGGAUUGACAAAUGAAAAUCCAUGUUCAGCGAGGAAUUGUAUGAGACCAGGAACUAGAAACAAGGAUGGGCCUGGCUGUGCGGAGGAGCAGAGAAGAAUAAGACCUGGAGAACAGAUCCAGUGCAGCUUUCGGAGGGACAGAAUGCACAGAGCGGGGUGAUGGCCCCUUUUCACCUUUGGGUGAGCUGCGUCUCACGUGACUCAGAUUUCAAGCCCAUUGAUCCUGAAGCAUUAUCACCAGCAACUAACUGCUGAUUACUACACAAAUGGAGUACCAGGAUGAGGAGAGAACCAAAGCAGACUGGACUGGGAAUGGAGAGUGGUGCUCACAGGAACGAAACAAGAGAAGGAUAGAGAAGAUUCAAAGCAGGAAAAGAAGAAACAAACAAGGCAUAAAACAGACGCAGGGUAGAACUGUCUACAAGAAAUGGCUUUCGUAUUUGGACAUGAUACGGUACUGCAGCGUUCCAGAACUCCUCGCUUUCCUCGGCUACAAGGUCCGUCAGCACCUAGAAACUGUUCUGUCGAUGGUUCUGAAACACUGGCUCAAAUCAAACAGAAGAAAAGAAAAGAAGGCAUUAAAAUUCAGGCAAUGUUUCAAGAGUUGA
This 933-nucleotide long non-coding RNA is filed under the name Struthio camelus australis. RNAcentral describes it as "lncRNA (ENSSCUG00000005312.1)". Lineage: Eukaryota; Metazoa; Chordata; Aves; Struthioniformes; Struthionidae. The record is from RNAcentral.